GAGACAGCCCUCUGGGUCGUAAACUGCUUUUAUUCGGGAAUAAACCUCAUUACGUGUAAUGAGCUGAAUGUACCGAAGGAAUAAGGAUCGGCUAACUCCGUGCCAGCAGCCGCGGUAAUACGGAGGAUCCAAGCGUUAUCCGGAUUUAUUGGGUUUAAAGGGUGCGUAGGCGGCUUAUUAAGUCAGGGGUGAAAGACGGUGGCUCAACCAUCACAGUGCCCUUGAUACUGAUGAGCUUGAAUACACUAGAGGUAGGCGGAAUGUGACAAGUAGCGGUGAAAUGCAUAGAUAUGUCACAGAACACCGAUUGCGAAGGCAGCUUACUAUGGUGUGAUUGACGCUGAGGCACGAAAGCGUGGGGAUCAAACAGGANUUAGAUACCCUGGUAGUCCAAGGGGCGAAAUUCCAGCACACNGGGCGGCCGU
Molecule: ribosomal RNA, 425 nt
Filed under: uncultured bacterium
Lineage: Bacteria
Description: bacterial SSU rRNA
Rfam family: Bacterial small subunit ribosomal RNA
Source: RNAcentral